Phrynosoma platyrhinos (Desert horned lizard) is the source of this 72-nucleotide non-coding RNA. The record is from the annotation of a GenBank genome assembly. Lineage: Eukaryota; Metazoa; Chordata; Lepidosauria; Squamata; Phrynosomatidae.
GUCAGUGUGGUGUAGUGGUAUUGGCAUCGGACUACAACUCUGGAGACCAGGAUUCAAGUCUUUGCUCUGCCA